CUUACGGGUGGCUGCAGUCGAGAAUCUUUCACAAUGGGGGCAACCCUGAUGGAGCGACGCCGCGUGGAGGAUAAGGUCUUCGGAUUGUAAACUCCUGUCAUGUGAGAACAAGGUUGCAGGGCUAACACCUUUGCAAAUUGAUGGUACCGCAAGAGGAAGAGACGGCUAACUCUGUGCCAGCAGCCGCGGUAAUACAGAGGUCUCAAGCGUUGUUGGGAAUCACUGGGCGUAAAGGGUGCAAGUCUGGUGUGAAAGCCCGGGGCUCAACCUCGGAAUUGCAUCCGAUACUGCCAUGCUGGAGUACUGAAGAGGUGACUAGAAUUCUAGGUGUAGCAGUGAAAUGCGUAGAUAUCUAGAGGAAUACCAACGGCGAAGGCAGGUCACUGGGCAGUUACUGACACUGAGGCACGAAGGCCAGGGGAGCAAACGGGAUUAGAUACCCGGGUAGUC
Molecule: ribosomal RNA, 450 nt
Filed under: uncultured bacterium
Lineage: Bacteria
Description: partial 16S ribosomal RNA
Rfam family: Bacterial small subunit ribosomal RNA
Source: RNAcentral